CUACUGCUCCCUUCGUUCGGAAAUAUUUAUCAUUCAAAUUGAUAAAAAAUGAUGUAUCUAGAACUAAAAUACAUCUAGAUACAUCUCCUUUUAUUCAUCUUGAUGAAAAGUAUUUCCGAACGGAGGAAGUAUGUA
This is a non-coding RNA of Triticum urartu, 135 nucleotides long. NCBI's taxonomy places the organism in Eukaryota, Viridiplantae, Streptophyta, Magnoliopsida, Poales, Poaceae. The record is from Rfam.